GUGGGGGCCCUUCGGGAGGCAGCAGUGGGGAAUCUUGCGCAAUGGGCGAAAGCCUGACGCAGCCAUGCCGCGUGUAUGAUGAAGGUCUUAGGAUUGUAAAAUACUUUCACCGGUGAAGAUAAUGACUGUAGCCGGAGAAGAAGCCCCGGCUAACUUCGUGCCAGCAGCCGCGGUAAUACGAAGGGGGCUAGCGUUGCUCGGAAUUACUGGGCGUAAAGGGAGCGUAGGCGGACAUUUAAGUCAGGGGUGAAAUCCCGAGGCUCAACCUCGGAACUGCCCUUGAUACUGGGUGUCUUGAGUGUGAGAGAGGUAUGUGGAACUCCGAGUGUAGAGGUGAAAUUCGUAGAUAUUCGGAAGAACACCAGUGGCGAAGGCGACAUACUGGCUCAUUACUGACGCUGAGGCUCGAAAGCGUGGGGAGCAAACAGGAUUAGAUACCCUGGUAGUCCACGCCGUAAACGAUGAUUGCUAGUUGUCGGGGGGUUUACCUCUCGGUGACGCAGCUAACGCAUAAGCAAUCCGCCUGGA
RNAcentral lists this ribosomal RNA (528 nucleotides) under Brevundimonas basaltis. Its description in RNAcentral is "bacterial SSU rRNA". It matches the Rfam family "Bacterial small subunit ribosomal RNA", at positions 329 to 877 of the family's 1533-position model. The record is from RNAcentral. Lineage: Bacteria; Pseudomonadati; Pseudomonadota; Alphaproteobacteria; Caulobacterales; Caulobacteraceae.